This 551-nucleotide ribosomal RNA is filed under the name Lampanyctus crocodilus (jewel lanternfish). RNAcentral's name for it is "partial 16S ribosomal RNA". It matches the Rfam family "Bacterial large subunit ribosomal RNA", at positions 1850 to 2598 of the family's 2925-position model. The record is from RNAcentral. Lineage: Eukaryota; Metazoa; Chordata; Actinopteri; Myctophiformes; Myctophidae.
AGGUCCCGCCUGCCCUGUGACUAUAUGUUUAACGGCCGCGGUAUUUUGACCGUGCGAAGGUAGCGCAAUCACUUGUCUUUUAAAUGGAGACCUGUAUGAAAGGCAUCACGAGGGCUUAGCUGUCUCCCCUUUAAAGUCAAUGAAAUUGAUCUCCCCGUGCAGAAGCGGGGAUAUACUCGUAAGACGAGAAGACCCUAUGGAGCUUAAGAUAAAAGGCGAGUCAUGUCAAACACCCCCUCAAAGGAAAUGAACGAAAUGAUACCCCGCUGGAAUGUCUUCGGUUGGGGCGACCGCGGGGAAAGACAAAACCCCCACAUGGACCAGGGCCACUAUAGCCCUAAAACCUAGACCCACAGGUCAAGUCAACAGUAAAUCUGACCACCAAAGAGCCGGCAAUGCCGAUCAACGGACCGAGUUACCCUAGGGAUAACAGCGCAAUCCCCUCCCAGAGCCCUUAUCGACGAGGGGGUUUACGACCUCGAUGUUGGAUCAGGACAUCCUAAUGGUGCAGCCGCUAUUAAGGGUUCGUUUGUUCAACGAUUAAAGUCCUA